This 72-nucleotide transfer RNA is filed under the name Nematostella vectensis (starlet sea anemone). It matches the Rfam family "tRNA". From Rfam's summary of the family: Transfer RNA (tRNA) molecules are approximately 80 nucleotides in length. Their secondary structure includes four short double-helical elements and three loops (D, anti-codon, and T loops). Further hydrogen bonds mediate the characteristic L-shaped molecular structure. tRNAs have two regions of fundamental functional importance: the anti-codon, which is responsible for specific mRNA codon recognition, and the 3' end, to which the tRNAs corresponding amino acid is attached (by aminoacyl-tRNA synthetases). tRNAs cope with the degeneracy of the genetic code in two manners: having more than one tRNA (with a specific anti-codon) for a particular amino acid; and 'wobble' base-pairing, i.e. permitting non-standard base-pairing at the 3rd anti-codon position. Lineage: Eukaryota; Metazoa; Cnidaria; Anthozoa; Actiniaria; Edwardsiidae. The record is from Rfam by way of RNAcentral.
GGCUCAAUGGUCUAGUGGUAUGAUUCUCGCUUCGGGUGCUAGAGGCCACGAGUUCGAUUCCCGUCUGAGCCC